GUUGCCUCUGAAAAUGAUUUUGAUGAUCACAAAAUAUUAGAGCAUAUUUCGAUAUUAAUAUUCUUUUAAGUAUGGCAAAGAAUAUUUAUGUAGAAAAAAAAGACUGUUUGGUGACUCUAAAUUUAAUUGAAGAUCAUUUAAGUCAAGAAAAAUCGAGUUUUGAGAGUCUUGGCAUAACCGCAUAAGAAAAAUUACUUUGAGGAAGUCGAGCCGACUCUGUCAGAAAUCGAGCC
This 233-nucleotide long non-coding RNA is filed under the name Elaeis guineensis (African oil palm). RNAcentral's name for it is "long non-coding RNA (EGUI_LNC010649)". The record is from RNAcentral. Lineage: Eukaryota; Viridiplantae; Streptophyta; Magnoliopsida; Arecales; Arecaceae.